This 82-nucleotide transfer RNA is filed under the name Anaerolineales bacterium. RNAcentral's name for it is "tRNA-Leu". It matches the Rfam family "tRNA". From Rfam's summary of the family: Transfer RNA (tRNA) molecules are approximately 80 nucleotides in length. Their secondary structure includes four short double-helical elements and three loops (D, anti-codon, and T loops). Lineage: Bacteria; Bacillati; Chloroflexota; Anaerolineae; Anaerolineales. The record is from RNAcentral.
GGGGCGGUGGCGGAAUUGGCAGACGCAGGGGACUUAAAAUCCCCCGGUUCACACCAUGUGGGUUCGAGUCCCUCCCGCCCUA